AUUGAACGCUGGCGGCAGGCUUAACACAUGCAAGUCGAGCGGGGUGAUGGUGCUUGCACUAUCACUUAGCGGCGGACGGGUGAGUAAUGCUUAGGAAUCUGCCUAUUAGUGGGGGACAACAUCUCGAAAGGGAUGCUAAUACCGCAUACGUCCUACGGGAGAAAGCAGGGGAUCACUUGUGACCUUGCGCUAAUAGAUGAGCCUAAGUCGGAUUAGCUAGUUGGUGGGGUAAAGGCCUACCAAGGCGACGAUCUGUAGCGGGUCUGAGAGGAUGUUCCGCCACACUGGGACUGAGACACGGCCCAGACUCCUACGGGAGGCAGCAGUGGGGAAUAUUGGACAAUGGGGGGAACCCUGAUCCAGCCAUGCCGCGUGUGUGAAGAAGGCCUUAUGGUUGUAAAGCACUUUAAGCGAGGAGGAGGCUACUGAGACUAAUACUCUUGGAUAGUGGACGUUACUCGCAGAAUAAGCACCGGCUAACUCUGUGCCAGCCGCCGCCGUAA
Molecule: ribosomal RNA, 503 nt
Filed under: uncultured bacterium
Lineage: Bacteria
Description: partial 16S ribosomal RNA
Rfam family: Bacterial small subunit ribosomal RNA
Source: RNAcentral